UGCCAAUUAAAGUUCCAAAAA
RNAcentral lists this non-coding RNA (21 nucleotides) under Caenorhabditis elegans. The record is from RNAcentral. Lineage: Eukaryota; Metazoa; Nematoda; Chromadorea; Rhabditida; Rhabditidae.